AUUGAACGCUGGCGGAAUGCUUUACACAUGCAAGUCGAGCGGCAGCGCGGCCUUCGGGCUGGCGGCGAGCGGCGAACGGGUGAGUAAUGCAUCGGAACAUGCCCAGUCGUGGGGGAUAACACUUCGAAAGAAGUGCUAAUACCGCAUACGUCCUGAGGGGGAAAGCGGGGGAUCGCAAGACCUCGCGCGAUUGGAGUGGCCGAUGUCGGAUUAGCUAGUUGGUGGGGUAAAGGCCUACAAGGCGACGAUCUGUAGCUGGUCUGAGAGGAUGAUCAGCCACACUGGGACUGAGACACGGCCCAGACUCCUACGGGAGGCAGCAGUGGGGAAUUUUGGACAAUGGGGGCAACCCUGAUCCAGCCAUUCCGCGUGAGUGAAGAAGGCCUUCGGGUUGUAAAGCUCUUUCGGCAGGAACGAAACGGUGGGCUCUAACAUAGUCCGCUAAUGACGGUACCUGAAGAAGAAGCACCGGCUAACUACGUG
Molecule: ribosomal RNA, 483 nt
Filed under: uncultured bacterium
Lineage: Bacteria
Description: partial 16S ribosomal RNA
Rfam family: Bacterial small subunit ribosomal RNA
Source: RNAcentral